RNAcentral lists this ribosomal RNA (502 nucleotides) under uncultured bacterium. RNAcentral's name for it is "partial 16S ribosomal RNA". It matches the Rfam family "Bacterial small subunit ribosomal RNA", at positions 29 to 523 of the family's 1533-position model. The record is from RNAcentral.
AUUGAACGCUGGCGGCGUGCUUAACACAUGCAAGUCGAUCGGUAACAGGUGUAGCAAUACAUGCUGACGAGAGGCGGACGGGUGAGGAAUAUUUGGGAAUCUGCCCAUCAGCGGGGGACAACCCGGGGAAACCCGGGCUAAUACCGCAUACGCUCUACGGAGGAAAGCCGGGGACCGCAAGGCCUGGCACUGAUGGAUGGGCCCAAAUCGGAUUAGCUAGUUGGCGGGGUAACGGCCCACCAAGGCGACGAUCCGUAGCUGGUCUGAGAGGACGAUCAGCCACACCGGAACUGAGACACGGUCCGGACUCCUACGGGAGGCAGCAGUGGGGAAUAUUGGACAAUGGGGGAAACCCUGAUCCAGCGACGCCGCGUGGGUGAAGAAGGCCUGCGGGUUGUAAAGCCCUUUCGGUAGGGACGAAAGCUCUUGCUCUAAUAAUGCAAGAGGUUGACUUAACCUACAUAAGAAGCACCGGCUAACUCUGUGCCAGCAGCCGCCGCAG